This 468-nucleotide ribosomal RNA is filed under the name uncultured bacterium. RNAcentral describes it as "partial 16S ribosomal RNA". It matches the Rfam family "Bacterial small subunit ribosomal RNA", at positions 28 to 507 of the family's 1533-position model. The record is from RNAcentral.
GAUGAACGCUGGCGGCGUGCUUAACACAUGCAAGUCGAACGGAAAGGCCCAAGCUUGCUUGGGUACUCGAGUGGCGAACGGGUGAGUAACACGUGGGUGAUCUGCCCUGCACUUCGGGAUAAGCCUGGGAAACUGGGUCUAAUACCGGAUAGGACGAUGGUUUGGAUGCCAUUGUGGAAAGUUUUUUCGGUGUGGGAUGAGCUCGCGGCCUAUCAGCUUGUUGGUGGGGUAAUGGCCUACCAAGGCGUCGACGGGUAGCCGGCCUGAGAGGGUGUACGGCCACAUUAGGACUGGGAGACAGCCCAGACUCCUGCGGGGGGCAGCAGUGGGGAAUAUUGCACAAUGGGCGCAAGCCUGAUGCAGCGACGCCGCGUGGGGGAUGACGGCCUUCGGGUUGUAAACUCCUUUCGCUAGGGACGAAGCGUUUUUGUGACGGUACCUGGAGAAGAAGCACCGGCUAACUACGUG